Molecule: ribosomal RNA, 497 nt
Filed under: uncultured bacterium
Lineage: Bacteria
Description: partial 16S ribosomal RNA
Rfam family: Bacterial small subunit ribosomal RNA
Source: RNAcentral
GACGAACGCUGGCGGCGUGCCUAAUACAUGCAAGUUGAGCGCUGAAGGUUGGUACUUGUACCGACUGGAUGAGCAGCGAACGGGUGAGUAACGCGUGGGGAAUCUGCCUUUGAGCGGGGGACAACAUUUGGAAACGAAUGCUAAUACCGCAUAAAAACUUUAAACACAAGUUUUAAGUUUGAAAGAUGCAAUUGCAUCACUCAAAGAUGAUCCCGCGUUGUAUUAGCUAGUUGGUGAGGUAAAGGCUCACCAAGGCGAUGAUACAUAGCCGACCUGAGAGGGUGAUCGGCCACAUUGGGACUGAGACACGGCCCAAACUCCUACGGGAGGCAGCAGUAGGGAAUCUUCGGCAAUGGACGAAAGUCUGACCGAGCAACGCCGCGUGAGAGAAGAAGGUUUUCGGAUCGUAAAACUCUGUUGGUAGAGAAGAACGUUGGUGAGAGUGGAAAGCUCAUCAAGUGACGGUAACUACCCAGAAAGGGACGGCUAACUACGUG